Molecule: ribosomal RNA, 484 nt
Filed under: uncultured bacterium
Lineage: Bacteria
Description: partial 16S ribosomal RNA
Rfam family: Bacterial small subunit ribosomal RNA
Source: RNAcentral
AUUGAACGCUGGCGGAAUGCUUUACACAUGCAAGUCGAGCGGCAGCACGGGGGCAACCCUGGUGGCGAGCGGCGAACGGGUGAGUAAUACAUCGGAACAUGCCCAGUCGUGGGGGAUAACACUUCGAAAGAAGUGCUAAUACCGCAUACGUCCUGAGGGAGAAAGCGGGGGAUCGCAAGACCUCGCGCGAUUGGAGUGGCCGAUGUCAGAUUAGCUAGUUGGUGGGGUAAAGGCCUACCAAGGCAACGAUCUGUAGCUGGUCUGAGAGGAUGAUCAGCCACACUGGGACUGAGACACGGCCCAGACUCCUACGGGAGGCAGCAGUGGGGAAUUUUGGACAAUGGGGGCAACCCUGAUCCAGCCAUUCCGCGUGAGUGAAGAAGGCCUUCGGGUUGUAAAGCUCUUUCGGCAGGAACGAAACGGUGAGCUCUAAAAUAGCUUGCUAAUGACGGUACCUGAAGAAGAAGCACCGGCUAACUACGUG